GCAAGUCGAGCGCGAAAGCUCCUUCGGGAGUGAGUAGAGCGGCGGACGGGUGAGUAACGCGUAAGAAUCUGCCCCUCAGUGAAGAAUACCCUCGAGAAAUCGGGGUUAAUGCUGCAUACGUCCCUUCGGGGAGAAAGAUGGCCUCUUUGCUGUUGCUGAGGGAUGAGCUUGCGUACUAUUAGCUUGUUGGUGGGGUAAAGGCCUACCAAGGCGAUGAUGGUUAGCCGGCCUGAGAGGGUGUAC
This 243-nucleotide ribosomal RNA is filed under the name uncultured bacterium. RNAcentral describes it as "partial 16S ribosomal RNA". It matches the Rfam family "Bacterial small subunit ribosomal RNA", at positions 57 to 305 of the family's 1533-position model. The record is from RNAcentral.